Molecule: long non-coding RNA, 785 nt
Filed under: Pongo abelii (Sumatran orangutan)
Lineage: Eukaryota; Metazoa; Chordata; Mammalia; Primates; Hominidae
Description: lincRNA
Source: RNAcentral
UUUUUUUGACUGCCGCCAUCCGCGUAGGAUGUGAUUUGCCCCUCCUUGCCUUCUGCCAUGAUUGUGAGGCCUCCCAGCCACGUGAAACUAAGGACAGUGCAUGAGAUUAUAUAAAGACUCAGAGCAGAGACACAGCUCUUCCUGCACCAGAGAAAUACAGCUCUGUGAGCCCCAAUGGAGCCAGCAUGCUGCUGGGUGCUGAGGAGCAGGCAGAGGCACCCAGGAUGGUGGUCCCCAGGGAGAACAGAGGCACAGAACAACACAUGAGGGGCCGCAUGACUUAGGGCCAGGAUCGGUCACUCAGCCAGCAACAACACUGGAAGAAAACAAAACAACUUCAGACUCUCUGCUGCUUUUCCGUAAUAUACCUGCCCAAAGACUGGACAACAAAGGAAAAGGAGGCUGAUGAGGAAACGAAAGGAUCCAUGGUUCUUGGGUCGCUGGGUGUCUCAUCAACAAAGCCCCAGCAUCACUCCCGGCAGAUGCCCUAGCCUGGCCCGGGCUGGGAUGGGCAAAAUUCACCGUGGAACUCUUGUUCGAGAGAAGGAGAUCAAAGCCAGAAACGCUUACCCAGAAUGGCCACGCAAAAUUCUAAUUCUAAAAAUACUUUUAAAAUCUAACGUACAACAAAGGAAAGCUGGAAAAUUAUUUAAAAAAGGAUGAAAGGGCAAGAAAAAUUCAACCCUCAACCUGAAGGCGAUUAUAAUCUGUGUUCUGCUGCUUCCCAGAGCCGCUUCAGUCUUCAGCUCAGAGUCUACCAAACACUAAAACGCAACUGAACACUC